Cucumis sativus (cucumber) is the source of this 427-nucleotide long non-coding RNA. RefSeq lists it as uncharacterized. Lineage: Eukaryota; Viridiplantae; Streptophyta; Magnoliopsida; Cucurbitales; Cucurbitaceae. The record is from RefSeq and is a predicted model, not a curated record. The transcript is spliced from 2 exons.
AGGUUCCUUAUUCUUUUCUGCCUUUAAUUUUGUUGGCUUCUUCUGUAAUUCUCUUGUGUUCUUGUUGUUGCUCUUCAGCUUUCCUCUAUUUUUGGAAGUGAUCGUGGCCCAGUGUGCCAAUUGUUUAGUUCGAAUCUCAAAAAAAAAAAAAAAAAGUGAUGGAAUAGACUAUUUGAUUUAGAUUAAAGCUAUUAUGUUGUGGGGUUUACAUCAUAAUUUCUAUUGUAGGAUUAAUCGAGAAACUUUAUAAUGGAAUAAUCUAGGGCGAACAGGGGAGUUGAGUAUUUUCUAUUUGUGGAGUUAAAUCUAUUAUACACAGACAUUUGCUGAACUACUAAGGAUAUGAAAACCCUUGGCUCUGUCAACAUGGCUUAUAGAAAGUAUCUGAAAACGAUCACCACUUUGCAAUUUCAACAAUAAGUGUAGA